This 490-nucleotide ribosomal RNA is filed under the name uncultured bacterium. RNAcentral's name for it is "partial 16S ribosomal RNA". It matches the Rfam family "Bacterial small subunit ribosomal RNA", at positions 30 to 507 of the family's 1533-position model. The record is from RNAcentral.
AUUGAACGCUGGCGGCAGGCCUAACACAUGCCAGUCGAACGGUAACAGGAAACAGCUUGCUGUUUCGCUGACGAGUGGCGGACGGGUGAGUAAUGUCUGGGAAACUGCCUGAUGGAGGGGGAUAACUACUGGAAACGGUAGCUAAUACCGCAUAACGUCGCAAGACCAAAGAGGGGGACCCUCGGGCCUCUUGCCAUCGGAUGUGCCCAGAUGGGAUUAGCUUGUUGGUGGGGUAACGGCUCACCAAGGCGACGAUCCCUAGCUGGUCGGAGAGGAUGACCAGCCACACUGGAACUGAGACACGGUCCAGACUCCUACGGGAGGCAGCAGUGGGGAAUAUUGCACAAUGGGCGCAAGCCUGAUGCAGCCAUGCCGCGUGUAUGAAGAAGGCCUUCGGGUUGUAAAGUACUUUCAGCGGGGAGGAAGGGAGUAAAGUUAAUACCUUUGCUCAUUGACGUUACCCGCAGAAGAAGCACCGGCUAACUCCGUG